CCUACGGGAGGCAGCAGUGAGGAAUAUUGGUCAAUGGGCUUACGCCUGAACCAGCCAAGCCGCGUGAGGGAAGACUGCCCUAUGGGUUGUAAACCUCUUUUGUCAGGGAGCAACGCCGGCUACGUGUAGCCGGACUGAGAGUACCUGAAGAAAAAGCAUCGGCUAACUCCGUGCCAGCAGCCGCGGUAAUACGGAGGAUGCGAGCGUUAUCCGGAGUUAUUGGGUUUAAAGGGUGCGUAGGCGGAAUGCCAAGUCAGCGGUAAAAUCGCGGGGCUCAACCUCGCUCAGCCGUUGAAACUGGCGUUCUUGAGUGGGCGAGAAGUAUGCGGAAUGCGUGGUGUAGCGGUGAAAUGCAUAGAUAUCACGCAGAACUCCGAUUGCGAAGGCAGCAUACCGGCGCCCAACUGACGCUGAAGCACGAAAGCGUGGGUAUCGAACAGGAUUAGAUACCCCUGUAGUC
Molecule: ribosomal RNA, 460 nt
Filed under: uncultured bacterium
Lineage: Bacteria
Description: partial 16S ribosomal RNA
Rfam family: Bacterial small subunit ribosomal RNA
Source: RNAcentral